RNAcentral lists this long non-coding RNA (349 nucleotides) under Homo sapiens (human). Its description in RNAcentral is "HSALNT0154587". Lineage: Eukaryota; Metazoa; Chordata; Mammalia; Primates; Hominidae. The record is from RNAcentral.
GGCCAUGUGUCUCCUACCGUGCUGAACAGAUGCUCAACAGCAGCUAGAAGGAAACCCAGUGGAGGCAAACACACUCAUCUUUCUAAACUAAAAUCCCACUUUCCAAAUAUCAGAACGGACAGGAACUCAGAGAUCUUAAGGACAGCAGCCACCACAGAAAAUUUUGGCUUUGAAGUGAGAAUCAGAGGACACAGAGGAAAAAUAGAGAUGCUGAAUGUUGGUUCCACUGUCAAGCUGGGGAAAUGAUAUAUACCUCUCUCCAUUCCCACAACAUAGGAGAAAUGAGGGGCAAAACAGCAUUCCAGGAGUGGACUAAAUGUAUAAAAGAAGAGCAAAGGAAAUCGGAGAA